UACGUAGGGGGCAAGCGUUGUCCGGAAUCAUUGGGCGUAAAGAGCGUGUAGGCGGUCCGGUAAGUCGGCUGUGAAAGUCCAGGGCUCAACCCUGGGAUGCCGGUCGAUACUGCCGGACUAGAGUUCGGAAGAGGCGAGUGGAAUUCCUGGUGUAGCGGUGGAAUGCGCAGAUAUCAGGAGGAACACCGAUAGCGAAGGCAGCUCGCUGGGACGGUACUGACGCUGAGGUGCGAAAGCGUGGGGAGCGAACAGG
Molecule: ribosomal RNA, 253 nt
Filed under: uncultured bacterium
Lineage: Bacteria
Description: partial 16S ribosomal RNA
Rfam family: Bacterial small subunit ribosomal RNA
Source: RNAcentral